This is a long non-coding RNA of Macaca fascicularis (crab-eating macaque), 1557 nucleotides long. NCBI's taxonomy places the organism in Eukaryota, Metazoa, Chordata, Mammalia, Primates, Cercopithecidae. The record is from Ensembl.
UUUUUUUUUUUUUUUUUUUGAGACGGAGUCUCGCUGUGUCUCCCAGGCUGGAGUGCAGUGGCGUGAUCUCGGCUCACUGCAAACUCCGCCUCCGGGUUCACGCCAUUCUCCCGCCUCAGCCUCCCAGUAGCUGAGACUACAGGCUGCCCAACCGGCUAGUUUUUGUAUUUUUAGUAGAGACGGGGUUUCACCAUGUUAGCCAGGAUAGUCUCGAUCUCCUGACCUCGUGAUCCACCCGCCUCGGCCUCCCAAAGUGCUGGGAUUACAGGCUUGAGCCACCGUGCCUGGCAAAUGAAUUUUUUAAUAGCACAUGUACUGCACAAAUUCCACAGCAACACGGUGUGUUGUAUUUUGUUUUCCACAUUCACACCUCCCAGUACAUGAUGACAUGUAUUUGAGAGUGGAGAGAAACUUCAGAAGCAUAUCUGAGUUCUUCCAGGACAAUUUCUAUAUCUAAUCUACCAACUCUUUAGAGGUCAGUCUUGUAAAAUCGUCUCUUUGAUUUUCCCUGAGGGAUGCAGUUACUUUGGUUGCAUUCGGCCCUGAAAAAUUUCACUGCAAAUUCAGUCAGUGACCCAUGCCAAAGAACACAAUAUAGCUACCCAAACCUUAAGAUGUUUCUAUGGUAUGAUACAUUUCAAAUGAGGUCCAUUUGCCAUGCCACCACCAUAACUGACAAAAUAUACUUUCUCUGCUCCACACAGUACUUCUUUAAAUUCACAGUCUUUCUUUCAAGAUUUGAACAUUUAGAAUUGUAUUGUACACUGACAGCACUUAAUAUACCCAUAAGGGGAAUGAAAGAGAUAUUUGGAUAUAUUUUCAAAAUUUGAAGACAAUAUGUUUACUGCCAAAUUUGCUGUGUCUCAGUGUUGCCACUCUUUACUGUAAGAGGAAUACUGACAUUCCAGUGGUGUCUCAUAAACUAAAAGGGUGGAUUCUAAAUUACAAGCUAUCUUGUUUAAGAUACAAAAUCACUGACAUUGUCUAAAUCUAUUUUUGUGAUGAUAAUAAAAAUACUUUAAUUAUAAUCCAUUGCUCUCAGAAAGUUAUAGGACAAUAUCCAAAUGAGAAGCCAUCAGCUUGUGAAUAUAUAAAUAGUUGUGCAAGAAUAAGUUAAAUUAGUGAAUAUCUCUUUAGGACAAAUUGUCAACAUGUAUACUUAUACAACAGUUUAGUUGGUGAGGGGAAGGUAUGCAACAUAUAUUCUGCCAAAAUAAAAGCCCAUAACAUUCUGACAACUAAUCCAUAUCUCUCGUCUUUGCUGUCCUAUCUGGAAAUGGCUGAAAUGCUUAACAUUUUUGGUUCUGAUCACAUAGUCAGAGUAUGUGUGACCCAUUAGGUUGGUUUCUCUAGCAGAUUUCUGUAACUGGAAGUGCCAUUUAGGGAGAUAUCCACAAAGUGUGUGGUAUUGGUGAUGUGACUGCUACCUUCCUCUUUCUCUAACAAGUUUUAUUAAUGCAGCAAAUAUCAUAUGGAAGGGCAUACUGUUCUCCAGAAAAUUUAGAAUGAUAAAAAAUAUCUAACCCAAAUCAAUCUGGCAAAGUUGAGCUGCUACCU